CACGGAGUUAGCCGGUGCUUCUUCUGUAGUUAACGUCAAUCACCUAGUCUAUUAAACUAAAUGCCUUCCUCGCUACCGAAAGAACUUUACAACCCGAAGGCCUUCUUCAUUCACGCGGCAUGGCUGCGUCAGGGUUGCCCCCAUUGCGCAAUAUUCCCCACUGCUGCCUCCCGUAGGAGUCUGGGCCGUGUCUCAGUCUCAGUGUGGCUGGUCAUCCUCUCAGACCAGCUAGAGAUCGUCGGCUUGGUGAGCCUUUACCUCACCAACUACCUAAUCCCACUUGGGCUCAUCCUAUGGCAUGUGGCCCGAAGGUCCCACACUUUCAUCUCCCGAUUCUACGCGGUAUUAGCUACAGUUUCCCGUAGUUACUCCCCCUCCAUAAGCCAGAUUCCCAAGCAUUACUCACCCGUCCGCCACUCGUCAUCAAAGAGCAAGCUUCUUUAUGUUACCGUUCGACUUGCAUGUGUUAAGCCUGCCGCCAGCGUUCAAUCUGAGCC
Molecule: ribosomal RNA, 497 nt
Filed under: uncultured Haemophilus sp.
Lineage: Bacteria; Pseudomonadati; Pseudomonadota; Gammaproteobacteria; Pasteurellales; Pasteurellaceae
Description: partial 16S ribosomal RNA
Source: RNAcentral